GCCGGCGUCGGCGGGCGUAUUUCGCCUCACAGUAGGUCGCCGCGACCCGUUGCUUCUGGGGACGUCGAAGGCCCGGACGGAUUGGUACCCUACCGGCUGGGGAUGCGGCUUCGGCUUCUCCUCUUGUCCGGUGGGCGAAACCGCCGGUGUCCUGGCUGCCCUGCGACGGUCGUAGAGACGAGCCCUCCCCAUUCGUGGGGGGCGGCUCUCGCGGCGUGCAAAAGGUCGGUGAUCCACCCGACCCGUCUUGAAACACGGACCAAGGAGUCUAACAUGUGUGCGAGUCAGUGGGCGCACUAAACCCAGAGGCGUAAUGAAAGUGACACGGGUUCGGCUGUCGCCUCGUGUGGCAGCCGGACUCAGGGCCGAUCCCUCACCGGUUGCCCUCGCCUCUCUCCCGCGUCUCGGUAAGCCGGGUGAGCUAUUUUCCCCGGCCAAUGCUGCGGGGCUCGGGGGGAGGCGGGGUUGCGAUGGUGUCCGUAAAAAAGAGCCUGCUGUUGCAGGGGGGCGCAGGCCCGGGACUUGCCAGGACGCCGCGAGACUGUCACUUUGCUGUGAGGCUCCAGGGCCGAUCAGCGGGUCAUGCGUGCAGUCGGCAAGUACCAUGAGCAGACAUGUUGGG
RNAcentral lists this ribosomal RNA (622 nucleotides) under Cambarus hubrichti. RNAcentral describes it as "partial large subunit ribosomal RNA". The record is from RNAcentral. Lineage: Eukaryota; Metazoa; Arthropoda; Malacostraca; Decapoda; Cambaridae.